RNAcentral lists this ribosomal RNA (887 nucleotides) under uncultured Myxococcales bacterium. RNAcentral describes it as "SSU rRNA". It matches the Rfam family "Bacterial small subunit ribosomal RNA", at positions 8 to 916 of the family's 1533-position model. The record is from RNAcentral. Lineage: Bacteria; Pseudomonadati; Myxococcota; Myxococcia; Myxococcales.
AGAGUUUGAUCCUGGCUCAGAACGAACGCUGGCGGCGCGCUUAACACAUGCAAGUCGAGCGGGUACCGCAAGGUAUCAGCGGCGUACGGGUGCGUAACACGUGGGUAAUCUGCCUCGAAGAUCGGGAUAACUCGCCGAAAGGCGAGCUAAUACUGGAUAAGCUCACGGACCCCUCGGGGUUUGGGAGAAAAGGUCGUAAGACGCUUCGAGAUGAGCCCGCGGCCCAUCAGCUCGUUGGCGGGGUAACGGCCCACCAAGGCAACGACGGGUAGCUGGUCUGAGAGGACGACCAGCCACACUGGAACUGAGACACGGUCCAGACUCCUACGGGAGGCAGCAGUGGGGAAUCUUGCGCAAUGGGCGAAAGCCUGACGCAGCGACGCCGCGUGUGGGAUGAAGGUUUUCGGAUCGUAAACCACUGUCGCCCGGGACAAAUCAAUGAUGGUACCGGGAGAGGAAGCACCGGUUAACUCUGUGCUAGCAGCCGCGGUAAUACAGAGGGUGCGAGCGUUGUUCGGAAUUAUUGGGCGUAAAGCGCAUGUAGGCGGCUUGUUAAGUCGCGUGUGAAAUCUCCAGGCUUAACCUGGAAAGUGCGCGCGAAACUGGCGAGCUUGAGUGUCGGAGAGGGUGGCGGAAUUCCCGGUGUAGAGGUGAAAUUCGUAGAUAUCGGGAGGAACACCAGAGGUGAAGGCGGCCACCUGGACGACCACUGACGCUGAGACGCGAAAGCGUGGGGAGUAAACAGGAUUAGAUAUCCUGGUAGUCCACGCUGUAAACGAUGGGUGCUAGCUGUGGUGGGUUUUGACCCCCGCCGUGGCGACGCUAACGCAAUAAGCACCCCGCCUGGGAAGUACGGCCGCAAGGCUAAAACUCAAAGGAAUUGACGG